RNAcentral lists this non-coding RNA (28 nucleotides) under Mus musculus (house mouse). The record is from RNAcentral. Lineage: Eukaryota; Metazoa; Chordata; Mammalia; Rodentia; Muridae.
UGCUUGGCUUUGUGUCUCGAGACUCAUC